This is a ribosomal RNA of Saprospira grandis str. Lewin, 2814 nucleotides long. It matches the Rfam family "Bacterial large subunit ribosomal RNA". NCBI's taxonomy places the organism in Bacteria, Pseudomonadati, Bacteroidota, Saprospiria, Saprospirales, Saprospiraceae. The record is from Rfam.
UAGGAAGCAAAUAAGGGCACAGGGGGAAUGCCUAGGCUCUCAGAGAUGACGAAGGACGCGAUAAGCUGCGAAAAGCUACGACGAGCUGCAAAUAGGCUAUGACUCGUAGAUGUCCGAAUGGGGGAACCCUCCAGAUUGAAGAUCUGGAACCCGAGAGGGGAACAACGCAGGGAACUGAAACAUCUAAGUACCUGUAGGAAAAGAAACUAAGAAAAGGAUUCCGUAAGUAGUGGCGAGCGAACACGGAGGAGCCCAGCUCUAAUAAAGUAGUCAAGUUGAAUGGUUUGGAAAGACCUGCCGAAGAAGGUGAUAGCCCUGUAGACGGAGACGAAAAAGAGCGAUGAGUAGCGCGGGACCGGAGGAAUCUUGCGUGAAUAUGGCAGCACCAUCUGCCAAGGCUAAAUACUACUGAGAGACCGAUAGUGAACAAGUACCGUGAGGGAAAGGUGAAAAGAACUGCUAGGAGCAGAGUGAAAAGAACCUGAAACCCUGUGUCUACAAGCGGUGGGAGCGCAAGCGACCACGUGCCUUUUGCAUAAUGAGCCUACGAGUUAGUCUUCUAUGGCAAGGAUAAGGACUGGAGGUCCGCAUCCGGAGCGAAAGCGAGUCUGAAUAGGGCGCCGAGUCAUAGGAGCUAGACGCGAAACCGAGUGAUCUACCCAUGAGCAGGUUGAAGUUGCGGUAACACGCAAUGGAGGACCGAACCCAGUAAACGUGAAAAGUUUUUGGAUGACUUGUGGGUAGGGGUGAAAGGCCAAUCAAACUCGGAAAUAGCUCGUACUCCCCGAAAUGCAUUGAGGUGCAGCGUUCGGUUAGAGUGUCUAAGAGGUAGAGCUACCAAUAGGGCUAGGGGGAGUCAAAUCCUACCAACCCCUGAUGAACUCCGAAUGCUUAGACAUGUUACCGAGCAGUGAGGCUGGGGGUGCUAAGGUCACCAGCCGAGAGGGGAACAACCCAGACCAUCAGCUAAGGUCCCAAAAUAAACGUUAAGUUGACUGAACGAGGUGGAAUUGCUAUGACAGCUAGGAUGUUGGCUUGGAAGCAGCCAUUCAUUUAAAGAGUGCGUAACAGCUCACUAGUCGAGUGAUUCUGCGCGGAAAAUACUCGGGCAUAAAACGUUUUACCGAAGCUAUGGAUUCGAAAGAGUGGUAGGGGAGCAUUGUAGUUGCGCUGAAGGUGUACUGUGAGGUAUGCUGGAGCGACUAGAAAAGCAAAUGUAGGCAUGAGUAACGAUAAAAUAGGUGCAAGACCUAUUCGCCGUAAGACCCAGGUUUCCGAUUCUAUGUUAGACAGAGUCGGGUUAGUCGGACCCUAAGGAGUAGCCGAGAGGCGAAUCCGAUGGAAAAUCAGUUAAUAUUCUGAUACUUGUAUAUUGGGCGAAGCGGGGACGGAGUUGACGGUCAUCUGCUCACUGACGGAAUAGUGGGCUAAAGUGUGAAGAGAGGGCAGUAGUGAAGUACGCUGUCUAUUUGAAGCACGAUAGUACUUGGAUCUCAUUAGAGAGAAGAGCUAAGAUGUUAGUCAGCUUCCAAGAAAAGCCGCUAAGCAUUAACUAAUAUACAAACCGUACCGCAAACCGACACAGGUGGUCGAGGAGAGUAUCCUCAGGCGCUCGAGUGAUUCACGGCUAAGGAACUAGGCAAAUUGGACGCGUAACUUCGGGAGAAGCGUCGCUCUGAGUAAUCAGAGCCGCAGUGAAAAGGCCCAGGCGACUGUUUAGCAAAAACACAGGACUCUGCGAAUCCGAAAGGAGAAGUAUAGGGUCUGACACCUGCCCGGUGCCGGAAGGUUAAGGAAGGGGGUUAGCGCAAGCGAAGCUCUUGACUGAAGCCCCGGUAAACGGCGGCCGUAACUAUAACGGUCCUAAGGUAGCGAAAUUCCUUGUCGGGUAAGUUCCGACCUGCACGAAUGGUGUAACGAUCUGGGCACUGUCUCGGCCGUGAGCUCGGUGAAAUUGAAGUAUCGGUGAAGAUGCCGAUUACCCACAACGGGACGAAAAGACCCCGUGAACCUUUACUACAACUUAACAUUGUCUUUGAGUAAUUGAUGUGUAGGAUAGGUGGGAGACUAUGAAGCUGAUGCGCUAGUGUUGGUGGAGUCGUCCUUGAAAUACCACCCUUUAAUUGCUUAGAGACUAACCCGGUGGGGGACAUUGUUAGGCGGGUAGUUUGACUGGGGUGGUCGCCUCCUAAAAGGUAACGGAGGCUCCCAAAGGUUCCCUCAGCAUGGUUGGUAAUCAUGCGAAGAGCGUAAUAAGUACAAGGGAGCUUGACUGUGAGACAGACAAGUCGAACAGGGACGAAAGUCGGGUUAAGUGAUCCGGCGGUUCUGUAUGGAAGGGCCGUCGCUCAAAGGAUAAAAGGUACUCCGGGGAUAACAGGCUGAUCUCCCCCAAGAGCUCAUAUCGACGGGGAGGUUUGGCACCUCGAUGUCGGCUCGUCACAUCCUGGGGCUGGAGAAGGUCCCAAGGGUUGGGCUGUUCGCCCAUUAAAGUGGCACGCGAGCUGGGUUCAGAACGUCGCAAGACAGUUCGGUCUCUAUCUGUUGUGGGCGCUCGAAUAUUGAAAGGAUUUGACUCUAGUACGAGAGGACCGAGUUGAACAGAUCUCUAGUGUACCAGUUGUGCCGCCAGGUGCAUGCUGGGUAGCUAUAUCUGGAAAGGAUAAGCGCUGAAAGCAUCUAAGCGCGAAGCCAACCUUAAGAUGAGUAUUCGUUGAAGAGACCUGGAAGAUGACCAGGUAGAUAGGCUAUAGGUGGAAGCACAGUGAUGUGUUAGGGAGCCAAGUAGUACUAAUUUCUCGAAAGCUUCCUUUU